CCUACGGGAGGCAGCAGUGAGGAAUAUUGGUCAAUGGGCGGGAGCCUGAACCAGCCAAGUCGCGUGCGGGAAGAAGGCCCUGUGGAUUGUAAACUUCUUUUGUCAGGGAAUAAAGUCCGUCACGUGUCCUCGUUUGUGGGUACCUCAUGAAUAAGCACCGGCUAAUUCCGUGCCAGCAGCCGCGGUAAUCCGGAGGAUGCGAGCGUUAUCCGGAUUUAUUGGGUUUAAAGGGUGCGUGGGCGGCCUGUUAAGCCUGCGGGAAAAGCCCGGGGCUAAACCCUGGCGAGCCGUGGAAACUGGCGGGCUGGAGUGGGAGGGAAGUACGCGGAAUGCGCGGUGUAGCGGUGAAAUGCUUAGAUAUCGCGCAGAACCCCGAUUGCGAAGGCAGCGUACGGGAUCGACACUGACGCUGAGGCACGAAGGCGUGGGUAUCGAACAGGAUUAGAUACCCGGGUAGUC
RNAcentral lists this ribosomal RNA (459 nucleotides) under uncultured bacterium. RNAcentral describes it as "partial 16S ribosomal RNA". It matches the Rfam family "Bacterial small subunit ribosomal RNA", at positions 338 to 795 of the family's 1533-position model. The record is from RNAcentral.